Molecule: ribosomal RNA, 251 nt
Filed under: uncultured bacterium
Lineage: Bacteria
Description: partial 16S ribosomal RNA
Rfam family: Bacterial small subunit ribosomal RNA
Source: RNAcentral
ACGGAGGAUCCAAGCGUUAUCCGGAUUUAUUGGGUUUAAAGGGUGCGUAGGCGGACUGAUAAGUCAGCGGUGAAAGUUUGCGGCUCAACCGUAAAAUUGCAGUUGGUACUGUUAGUCUUGAGUAUAGGGGAGGUAAGCGGAAUUCGUGGUGUAGCGGUGAAAUGCUUAGAUAUCACGAAGAACUCCAAUUGCGUAGGCAGCUUACUAUACUAUAAAUGACGCUGAGGCACGAAAGUGUGGGUAUCAAAAAU